UACGAAGGGGGCUAGCGUUGCUCGGAAUCACUGGGCGUAAAGGGUGCGUAGGCGGGUCUUUAAGUCAGGGGUGAAAUCCUGGAGCUCAACUCCAGAACUGCCUUUGAUACUGAAGAUCUUGAGUUCGGGAGAGGUGAGUGGAACUGCGAGUGUAGAGGUGAAAUUCGUAGAUAUUCGCAAAAACACCAGUGGCGAAGGCGGCUCACUGGCCCGAUACUGACGCUGAUGCACGAAAGCGUGGGGAGCAAACAGG
This 253-nucleotide ribosomal RNA is filed under the name uncultured bacterium. Its description in RNAcentral is "partial 16S ribosomal RNA". It matches the Rfam family "Bacterial small subunit ribosomal RNA", at positions 524 to 776 of the family's 1533-position model. The record is from RNAcentral.